CCUACGGGAGGCAGCAGUGGGGAAUAUUGGACAAUGGGGGAAACCCUGAUCCAGCAAUGCCGCGUGAAUGAAGAAGGCCUUAGGGUUGUAAAAUUCUUUUGUUCGUGAAGAUAAUGACGGUAGCGGACGAAUAAGCCCUGGCUAACUCUGUGCCAGCAGCCGCGGUAAU
Molecule: ribosomal RNA, 169 nt
Filed under: uncultured bacterium
Lineage: Bacteria
Description: partial 16S ribosomal RNA
Rfam family: Bacterial small subunit ribosomal RNA
Source: RNAcentral